This 397-nucleotide ribosomal RNA is filed under the name uncultured bacterium. RNAcentral's name for it is "bacterial SSU rRNA". It matches the Rfam family "Bacterial small subunit ribosomal RNA", at positions 355 to 769 of the family's 1533-position model. The record is from RNAcentral.
UGGGGAAUAUUGCACAAUGGGGGAAACCCUGAUGCAGCGACGCCGCGUGGAGGAAGAAGGUCUUCGGAUUGUAAACUCCUGUUGUUGAGGAAAAAGAGGAUGGUACUCAACAAGGAAGUGAUGGCUAACUACGUGCCAGCAGCCGCGGUAAAACGUAGGUCACAAGCGUUGUCCGGAAUUACUGGGUGUAAAGGGAGCGCAGGCGGGUAUGCAAGUUGGGAGUGAAAUACAUGGGCUCAACCCAUGAACUGCUCUCAAAACUGUGUAUCUUGAGUAGUGCAGAGGUAGGCGGAAUUCCCGGUGUAGCGGUGGAAUGCGUAGAUAUCGGGAGGAACACCAGUGGCGAAGGCGGCCUACUGGGCACCAACUGACGCUGAGGCUCGAAAGUGUGGGUAGC